This is a long non-coding RNA of Sardina pilchardus (European sardine), 637 nucleotides long. RefSeq lists it as uncharacterized. The record is from RefSeq and is a predicted model, not a curated record. The transcript is spliced from 4 exons. Lineage: Eukaryota; Metazoa; Chordata; Actinopteri; Clupeiformes; Clupeidae.
GCAGGCUGCAUGCUUAUGAUAAAUGAAGUUUCGUUGUCGACCGGAGCCUCUAUGAGUGUGGCGACGGCGGCGAAGUAUGCCUGCUACCCGACAAACAUGGAGCACGUCAUCUCCGAGCUUCUUAUCGGUGGAGGUGUACUGCCGAAGUUCCAGGGCUGUGAAAUGAAUUCCUCCCAUAGACGCUCCGACACAUUAACUCAGUCCAGAGUGUGUUAUCAGCGCUGUCACACUGGCUGCUUACCUGGGCAGUCAACCGACUAGCUCCAGCUGCUGGACAGUCAACCGACUUAACCAGUGCUAAUUAACUUAAUUGGUGCUUUCGUUGUGAGGCAACGGAUGACGUCCGUGCAAAUAUACCCGCCAAAAGAAGUAUUUUUUCAUGGGAAAAUGUUAACGGCAUCUCCGGUCCGAUGAUAUCAACGAACGUUUCCUUCCCUAAGGUGGAGUGGCAUCCCAUCCUCAUUGUUUGUGUGUGGUUGGUCUUUCUUGCACGUCUGCGGGGAGGCAAAGGCAAACUGCAGUCUGGCAUUUCAGAGGUGACGGGGGUCUCUGCAAAGAAAGCAAGAAAUAAUAAUAAGCACAGAAAUGUCACGCGAGAUCUCACACGGAAGCAUGGGAGCAUUGCAUUCUAUAAUCG